RNAcentral lists this ribosomal RNA (253 nucleotides) under uncultured Rikenellaceae bacterium. RNAcentral describes it as "partial 16S ribosomal RNA". It matches the Rfam family "Bacterial small subunit ribosomal RNA", at positions 524 to 776 of the family's 1533-position model. The record is from RNAcentral. Lineage: Bacteria; Pseudomonadati; Bacteroidota; Bacteroidia; Bacteroidales; Rikenellaceae.
UACGGAGGAUCCAAGCGUUAUCCGGAUUUAUUGGGUUUAAAGGGUGCGUAGGCGGCAGAUUAAGUUAGAGGUGAAAUUCCGAGGCUCAACCUUGGCACUGCCUCUGAUACUGGUUUGCUAGCGAGUAGAUGCUGUAGGCGGAAUGUGUGGUGUAGCGGUGAAAUGCAUAGAGAUCACACAGAACACCGAUUGCGCAGGCAGCUUGCUAAUCCGCAUCUGACGCUGAUGCACGAAAGCGUGGGUAGCGAACAGG